UUCCUGGUGUUGAGUCAGAAUCUCCUUUCUUGUAACUUGAAUCCAAUGGUUCGAGUCCUACCCUCCAGAGCAGGAGAAAACAAGUUUGUUCCCACUUCCAUGAAACAGCCCUUGAGAUAUUUGAAGAUGGCUAUCAUCUUUCCUCUCAGUCUCCUCUUUUCCAGGCUAAACAUACCCAACUCCUUCAA
This is a non-coding RNA of Podarcis lilfordi (Lilford's wall lizard), 188 nucleotides long. Lineage: Eukaryota; Metazoa; Chordata; Lepidosauria; Squamata; Lacertidae. The record is from the annotation of a GenBank genome assembly.